CGGGGCGUGGCUCAGCCUGGUAGAGCACCGCGUUCGGGACGCGGGGGUCGGAGGUUCGAAUCCUCUCGCCCCGA
This is a non-coding RNA of Deltaproteobacteria bacterium GWB2_55_19, 74 nucleotides long. The record is from Rfam. Lineage: Bacteria; Deltaproteobacteria.